RNAcentral lists this ribosomal RNA (792 nucleotides) under uncultured bacterium. Its description in RNAcentral is "bacterial SSU rRNA". It matches the Rfam family "Bacterial small subunit ribosomal RNA", at positions 8 to 796 of the family's 1533-position model. The record is from RNAcentral.
AGAGUUUGAUCAUGGCUCAGAGCGAACGCUGGCGGCGUGCUUAACACAUGCAAGUCGAACGCGCAGCAUUCUGUAGCAAUACAGGGUGUGGGCGCGUGGCGAACGGGUGCGUAACACGUGGAUAACCUUCCUUCAGGUGGGGAAUAACCCAGUGAAAAUUGGGCUAAUACCGCAUAACAAAGCGAGAAGACAUCUUUUUGCUUUCAAAGCCGCAAGGCGCCAGAAGAGGGAUCCGCGGCCGAUUAGCUUGUUGGCGGGGUAACGGCCCACCAAGGCAUUGAUCGGUAGCCGGACUGAGAGGUUGGCCGGCCACACUGGAACUGAGACACGGUCCAGACUCCUACGGGAGGCAGCAGUGGGGAAUCUUGCACAAUGGGCGAAAGCCUGAUGCAGCAACGCCGCGUGGGGGAUGAAGCUUCUCGGAGUGUAAACCCCUUUCGACCCGGAAGAAAGCCCGCAAGGGUUUGACGGUACGGGUAUAAGAAGCCCCGGCUAACUACGUGCCAGCAGCCGCGGUAAAACGUAGGGGGCCAGCGUUGCUCGGAAUUACUGGGCGUAAAGGGUCCGUAGGCGGUGUGGCAAGUCGGUAGUGAAAUCUCUGGGCUUAACCCAGAGGCUGCUGCCGAAACUGCCGUGCUAGAGUGUGAGAGAGGCGAGUGGAAUUACGGGUGUAGCGGUGAAAUGCGUAGAUAUCCGUAGGAACAUCCGAGGCGAAAGCGGCUCGCUGGAUCACAACUGACGCUGAGGGACGAAAGCUAGGGGAGCAAACAGGAUUAGAUACCCCUGUAGUCC